UUGUUGCUGUUUUCAUGCAAUGGUUGUGCGUUAUGCAAGUGCAAUGAAUCCCAGGAUGGAUGAAGCCAGUUCCUGGGGGGCUAUUACCCCCCUACAGUUCAUCUGUGCUGAUGGCAUACUUUGGCUUUUCCUUGUUUGGGCCUAUUUUCGUAACAGUGACGAGCUGACCCUCCCAGUUUUUCUCUUUCUUUUUCUUGUUAAAAUGGGAGGAGUCCUAGUGUCCUGCUGGGGGUUAUUCCCCAAUUCAAGCCCAGGUAUUGCUCCAGAGCCUUUUUGGGUUAUAUCUGUGGAGCAAGGUGAACAGAAGGCAACUGACAGAUAUCGGCCAAGCUGUCAUGUCAAGCUACUGGAGCCUCUAUCCUAUCAGCAGCAGUUUCUGCCAUACUCUAUUUGGGGCGCAUGUUGGUACCGGCUUGGCGCCAGAAGACUUAAAUCAGAAAUAUGUGUUUUUAUAACUUUUUGUUCUAAAUAAAUCCUGUUGUUAUCAAAGAAAA
Molecule: long non-coding RNA, 494 nt
Organism: Xenopus tropicalis (tropical clawed frog)
Lineage: Eukaryota; Metazoa; Chordata; Amphibia; Anura; Pipidae
Exons: 2
Source: RefSeq, a predicted model, not a curated record